GCUUGUCUCAAAGAUUAAGCCAUGCAUGUCUAAGUAUAAACGAUUUUAUACGUGAAACUGCGAAUGGCUCAUUAUAUCAGUUAUAGUUUAUUUGAUGGUCCUUACUACUUGGAUAACCGUAGUAAUUCUAGAGCUAAUACAUGCAUCAAGCCCUGACUUCGGAAGGGGUGUAUUUAUUAGUUACAGAACCAGCCCAGGCUCUGCCUGGUCUUGUGGUGAUUCAUAAUAACCGAACGAAUCGUAUGGCAUCAGCUGGCGAUGAAUCAUUCAAGUUUCUGACCUAUCAGCUUCCGACGGUAGGGUAUUGGCCUACCGUGGCAAUGACGGGUAACGGAGAAUUAGGGUUCGAUUCCGGAGAGGGAGCCUGAGAAACGGCUACCACAUCUAAGGAAGGCAGCAGG
This 401-nucleotide ribosomal RNA is filed under the name uncultured dinoflagellate. RNAcentral's name for it is "partial small subunit ribosomal RNA". It matches the Rfam family "Eukaryotic small subunit ribosomal RNA", at positions 30 to 432 of the family's 1831-position model. Lineage: Eukaryota; Dinophyceae. The record is from RNAcentral.